This 497-nucleotide ribosomal RNA is filed under the name uncultured bacterium. RNAcentral's name for it is "partial 16S ribosomal RNA". It matches the Rfam family "Bacterial small subunit ribosomal RNA", at positions 28 to 507 of the family's 1533-position model. The record is from RNAcentral.
GAUGAACGCUGGCGGCGUGCCUAAUACAUGCAAGUCGAGCGAACAGACGAGGAGCUUGCUCCUCUGAUGUUAGCGGCGGACGGGUGAGUAACACGUGGAUAACCUACCUAUAAGACUGGGAUAACUUCGGGAAACCGGAGCUAAUACCGGAUAACAUGUUGAACCGCAUGGUUCAACAGUGAAAGACGGUUUUGCUGUCACUUAUAGAUGGAUCCGCGCCGCAUUAGCUAGUUGGUAAGGUAACGGCUUACCAAGGCAACGAUGCGUAGCCGACCUGAGAGAGUGGUCGGCCACACUGGAACUGAGACACGGUCCAGACUCCUACGGGAGGCAGCAGUAGGGAAUCUUCCGCAAUGGGCGAAAGCCUGACGGAGCAACGCCGCGUGAGUGAAGAAGGUCUUCGGAUCGUAAAACUCUGUUAUUAGGGAAGAACAAAUGUGUAAGUAACUAUGCACGUCUUGACGGUACCUAAUCAGAAAGCCACGGCUAACUACGUG